UCGUCGACGGGGAAGCACGUUUCGCGCGCUCUCUCACAGUCAAACUCACGCACUGUACAUAGAAUAAAAUAAAAUUUUAAGUAGAGUGGCCGAGUGAAGUGACGAACGUGUUGUGACGGUGUACUGCAACCAUCGAGCUUCCGAGUUUAGUUCUGUAAAUAAUUUAAACCGUUACAUAUAUAUUUCUCGCGUGGUAUUAGUGAAGUGUGAGUUCCAAUCUUCGAGGCCGCUUGUUCUUCCUUCGCAAUAGUUAAAAAUAGUAACGUCUUUCGAAUCAACACAUUUCACAACCAUGGGGCUGAGUUCACAGCUACGAACUGAACAACCAUCGCAUACGCUCCGAAUACCAACUGAUACUUACUUGUACAGUUGAACAACUACCAAAAUGGUUAAGUAGUAGACAUAGACUGUUCAAAUAAUU
Hyposmocoma kahamanoa is the source of this 421-nucleotide long non-coding RNA. RefSeq lists it as uncharacterized. The transcript has 3 exons. The record is from RefSeq and is a predicted model, not a curated record. NCBI's taxonomy places the organism in Eukaryota, Metazoa, Arthropoda, Insecta, Lepidoptera, Cosmopterigidae.